GGCUUUAAAUGAACACCAAAGGCUUCAAAUUGGCUAAAUUAAAAUGGGCUAAGAUCCUUGGUUGGGACCCAAGCAAGUCCAUGAUAAGAUGAACCAAAUUCUAUAAUAAAUAGAGAAUAAUAUGAUUCCUAUAAUGUGGUUUUAGGAAUCAACGAUUUGCCACCAAGACUUUGGAUAACGAAUUUGCUGUAAGUAAUCUGUCUUAAUCUUAUCGUAGAUCUUGUAUUACGUUUUAUAAGAUGAACCAGUGUUUUUCAUACAAUUUGAAUUGUAUACAUGAUUUGUGAAGAAAGUAAGUAACCUGUCCUAAUCCUGUUAUGGAUCAUGUCAUGUUAUUAAUGUUUCCUAAGCAUUUAUUUUAAGUAUAUAUGUUUCAUGCAUGAUAUGUUACAAUGCAUAAGUAACUUGCAUGAUCCCAGAAGCUAUGGCUAUGUAUGCAACAUGAUGAUACUGAUAUUUUAAUCAUGCAUGUAAGUUUAUAAAGUCUUAGCUAGCCCAGAGGCACUAUAAUGGGUUCAAAGAUGCUACUGAGAAUGACUGAGCCGCCAAUGGCUGAAUAGUAACUGGGCCUGCCCCGCCAGUGGCUGAAUAGUAACUGGGCCUGCCCCGCCAGUGGCUGAAUAGUAACUGAGCUGGCCCCGCCAGUGGUCGAGUCUGACUUCGCAGUAGCAUCCGAGAGAAUGGACCACGGCAUGCCGGGGGGCACGGUUUCAUAUGCAUAUAUUAUAAAAAAUUUUGUGAUUUGCACUACUGCUUUGUUUAAAUUGCUUACAUGUUAUGCCAUGAUGAUUAUUAGAUAAACAUGCAUGUCAGCUUCUCAAAACCUGAUUUACAUGUUUAGCCUACUGGUUGAUCCGGUAGGAUUAUGCAGGAUUACUUACUGAGCCGUGUAGCUCACAUCUGUUUAUGCUUCGUUUUCUUUCAGAUCC
This 929-nucleotide long non-coding RNA is filed under the name Phoenix dactylifera (date palm). RNAcentral describes it as "long non-coding RNA (PDAC_LNC010750)". The record is from RNAcentral. Lineage: Eukaryota; Viridiplantae; Streptophyta; Magnoliopsida; Arecales; Arecaceae.